GAACCUUUACUAUAGCUUGACACUGAACAUUGAGCCUUGAUGUGUAGGAUAGGUGGGAGGCUUUGAAGUGUGGACGCCAGUCUGCAUGGAGCCGACCUUGAAAUACCACCCUUUAAUGUUUGAUGUUCUAACGUGGACCCGUAAUCCGGGUUGCGGACAGUGUCUGGUGGGUAGUUUGACUGGGGCGGUCUCCUCCUAAAGAGUAACGGAGGAGCACGAAGGUUGGCUAAUCCUGGUCGGACAUCAGGAGGUUAGUGCAAUGGCAUAAGCCAGCUUGACUGCGAGCGUGACGGCGCGAGCAGGUGCGAAAGCAGGUCAUAGUGAUCCGGUGGUUCUGAAUGGAAGGGCCAUCGCUCAACGGAUAAAAGGUACUCCGGGGAUAACAGGCUGAUACCGCCCAAGAGUUCAUAUCGACGGCGGUGUUUGGCACCUCGAUGUCGGCUCAUCACAUCCUGGGGCUGAAGUAGGUCCCAAGGGUAUGGCUGUUCGCCAUUUAAAGUGGUACGCGAGCUGGGUUUAGAACGUCGUGAGACAGUUCGGUCCCUAUCUGCCGUGGGCGCUGGAGAACUGAGGGGGGCUGCUCCUAGUACGAGAGGACCGGAGUGGACGCAUCACUGGUGUUCGGGUUGUCAUGCCAAUGGCACUGCCCGGUAGCUAAAUGCGGAAGAGAUAAGUGCUGAAAGCAUCUAAGCACGAAACUUGCCCCGAGAUGAGUUCUCCCUGAGACUUAGAGUCUCCUGAAGGAACGUUGAAGACGACGACGUUGAUAGGCCGGGUGUGUAAGCGCAGCGAUGCGUUGAGCUAACCGGUACUAAUGAACCGUGAGGCUUAACCUU
This 836-nucleotide ribosomal RNA is filed under the name Salmonella enterica. Its description in RNAcentral is "partial 23S ribosomal RNA". It matches the Rfam family "Bacterial large subunit ribosomal RNA", at positions 2095 to 2925 of the family's 2925-position model. Lineage: Bacteria; Pseudomonadati; Pseudomonadota; Gammaproteobacteria; Enterobacterales; Enterobacteriaceae. The record is from RNAcentral. RNAcentral also lists the same sequence under 1 other name.